GUGUGAGAAAUGGAGACAGAGGGAUUGGAGAGAUGAAGAUGGGGGAUCCGUGGUCUCUGAAGCCCCCAAUGCUUGUGUGAGGGUGAGAGCUCAGGAAGACCAUCAUAUUGGACUAGAACCUACCCUAAUAAUCCCAAUGAAACUUAAUGACUUCUUUGAAGGCCCUAUCUCCAUAUAAAGUCAUAUUCUAAGGUUUGCUUUUUCCAGUGAAGCUUUCUACCAGAAAAAAGGCAAAGAAGAUGGUUUUUCUGAUAAAGUCCCAUGAGAAUGCUCUGAUGACACUGGAAAAGCUUUCUUUCAUUCAUCCACCCACUGGUGACUUGGAAAAUAGCCUCUUCACCUUCAAAUGAGAGAAUAAUGCUGAAUUUUUCUGAAUUUCUAAGACGGGAAGUGAUGUAUCACUAAAACGGUGAGCUCUCACUGAAACAGGAAAUCUUCUACCAGUGUGGGUCUGAGUUGAUCUCUCCCUCCCUCCC
Molecule: long non-coding RNA, 476 nt
Filed under: Homo sapiens (human)
Lineage: Eukaryota; Metazoa; Chordata; Mammalia; Primates; Hominidae
Description: HSALNT0345098
Source: RNAcentral